UUGGGGCUUAUAGUUUCAGAGGGUGAGUCCAUGACCAGCAUGGCAGGGAGCAUUGGCAGCAGGCAGGCAGGGUGGCGCUAGGGUAGUGUGAGAGCUCAGAUCUCUAUCUACAAGCACCAGACAGACUGCUAACUGGAAUGGUGUGGGCUUUUGAAACCUCAAAGCCUGCCCCCAAUGAAAUGCCACCUCCAGGAAGGCCACCCUUCCUAAUUCUUCCUGAACACUUCUACCAGCUGGGGACCAAGUGUUCAAACAUAUGAGCCUAUGGGGACCCUUCUCAAUGAAAUCACAAUUGUCCGUUUGAGGUGGACUCAUGUAGCCUAUGCUAGCCUCAAAACUGUUAUGUAUCCAUGGAUGACCUUGAACUCUUGAUCUCGGAUCCUCCUGCCUCCUGCUAGAACCAGAGGCCUGAGCAACAGUCCUGGCUUGCCAAAAUUUUUAAGGGUCACACCAAGCAAAAAUAUGCAUUAGUGUAAGAGAAUUCCAGGAGCUGUCCCAGAAGGGCACAGGCACCCAGGGCAUACAUAGGGAGCCCAUGGUUGGGUGCAAGAGGUGGGUCUGGCGGAAGCUUCUUUUGGGGCCCACAGCAUCUUCUGUAUGUGUUAGUUUCCCAUGACAACACUGGACUACAUAAUUUGAAGGGAGCCCAAAGCAAAGGUGGGGGACUCAAGGGUCUGGUUCACCAGGCUUCAAAACACAGCCAGGUUGUCAAGUGGUUCACAGUACGGACUUCAUCUUACUAAAGCAGGAUCAGGUAGAGAGAACCAUGGAGGUCAGUAUGAUAAACCCGGACAGGGAAACAAACUAGAAGCUAAGGGCUGGGACAGAGCUGAAUAGUAGACCAUUUGACUAGCAUGGAUGGGCUUCCUACCACCACACACACACACACACACAACACACACACACACACACACACAGGAGGGCACUGUAAAGAUGAUGUUGAUAAUAAGAAUAGAGACAGUUCCUGAUCAUUACGUCAGGGGCAGGCUUCUUUUUUCUUUUUGUAAAGACAGGCUCUCACUGUGCAGCCUAGCUAAGCAGAACGCACUAUGUAGACAAGGCUGACCUUGUCUCUGCCUCCCGAGUGCUGGGAUUAAAGGCCUGUACCGUUAUGCCAGGCUGUGGUCAGGUUUGUUAUUAGUGGAAUGAACUACAAACCCAGGCACAAUGGUGAACACCUUUAAUCCCAGCACUGGGAGGCAAAGACAGACACAUCUUUGUGAACUGGAGGUUAACCUGUUCCUAAUUCCAGGACAGCCAGAGCAACAUACUGAGACCCUGCCUUAAGUAAAAGAAGGAAAGAAAGAAGAAAAAAAAUGAACUUGUUCUGCAUAAGUAGUUGUAAGCUAAACCGGCCCAUCUCUGAGCCACAAUGAAGUCAUGUUUCCUCAAAUGCACAUCACCACCGCUGCUACUGCCCUGGUUUCUGGUCCAAUCCAUCACAUUAUGCCCAGAUUUCUGCAGGCACCUCCUCCUCGUCUUUGCCUGCCUACAGCUCCCGAGUUCUUCUAAUAGAGUAGUUCUCAGUUUGGGCUGUACAAUAAAGGCUAGAAUUCUCAGAG
Molecule: long non-coding RNA, 1562 nt
Organism: Peromyscus leucopus (white-footed mouse)
Lineage: Eukaryota; Metazoa; Chordata; Mammalia; Rodentia; Cricetidae
Exons: 2
Source: RefSeq, a predicted model, not a curated record